UGCCUCUGAGACCCCAGCACACUUGCACAUGGCCCUGGGGGUCAGGUUUCAACACCAGAGCAUGGGCUCACACAUGCCUGGAACCACUGAACUCCCUUGCUGGCAGCCCUUUCAACUGCAAGCAACACAU
Sorex fumeus (smoky shrew) is the source of this 130-nucleotide small nucleolar RNA. NCBI's taxonomy places the organism in Eukaryota, Metazoa, Chordata, Mammalia, Eulipotyphla, Soricidae. The record is from RefSeq and is a predicted model, not a curated record.